AGUGCGUAAUAGCUCACUGGUCGAGUGAAGUUGCGCGGAAAAUUACCGGGGCUAAGCUAUACACCGAAAUUGCGGAUUUAUACUUGAAAGAUAGUAUAAGUGGUAGAGGAGCAUUCUGUUGUAGGACGAAGCAUGAUCGAGAGGACAUGUGGACGAAGCAGAAGAGAGAAUGCUGGAAUAAGUAGCGAGAGCAAGGUGAGAAUCCUUGCCGUCGAAAAUCUAAGGUUUCCUGGGGAAGGUUCGUCCGCCCAGGGUAAGUCGGGACCUAAGGAGAGGCCGAGAGGCGUAUCUGAUGGACAGCAGGUAGAAAAUUCCUGCACUACAGACAUACUUAAAAGAUGCAAGGGACACAGGAGUGGAAGAUAAGCGAGGAAGAGGAAAAACUCGUAUCGAAAGAUAUAGUGAAAAUAAAAAGUAACGAAUUAUCAAGAAGCACACUGGCGAGAAAAGCUUGUAGAUAUUGUAUGAAAGUACCCGUACCGCAAACCGACACAGGUAGAUGAGGAGAGGAUCCUAAGACGAACGGGAGAAGCAUUGUUAAGGAACUCGGCAAAUUGACCCCGUAACUUCGGAAUAAGGGGUGCCUAUGUAACAGUAGGUCGCAGAGAAUAGGCCCAAGCAACUGUUUAACAAAAACACAGGUUUCUGCUAAAUCGAAAGAUGAAGUAUAGGAGCUGACGCCUGCCCAGUGCUGGAAGGUCAAGGGGAAGAGUUAGGGUUAAACCGAAGCUUAGAACCAAAGCCCCAGUGAACGGCGGCCGUAACUAUAACGGUCCUAAGGUAGCGAAAUUCCUUGUCAGGUAAGUUCUGACCCGCACGAAAGGCGUAAUGAUUUGGGCACUGUCUCGACAAUGUACCCGGCGAAAUUGUAGUACUAGUGAAGAUGCUAGUUACCUGCGACAAGACAGAAAGACCCCAUGGAGCUUUACUGCAGCUUGAUACUGGGUUUUGACAAUUUAUGUACAGGAUAGGUGGGAGACGAAGAAAGUUAGGCGUCAGCUUAACUGGAGUCAUCCUUGGGAUACCACCCUUAAGUUGUUGAAAUUCUAACUAUUGAUCGUGAACCGGUCAGAGGACAAUGUCAGGCGGGCAGUUUGACUGGGGCGGUCGCCUCCUAAAGAGUAACGGAGGCGCCCAAAGGUUUCCUCAGCGCGGACAGAAAUCGCGCGAAAGAGUGUAAAGGCAGAAGGAAGCUUAACUGAGAGACAGACAUGUCGACCAGAUACGAAAGUAGGGCUUAGUGAUCCGGCGGUAGUGAAUGGAAAUGCCGUCGCUCAACGGACAAAAGUUACCCUGGGGAUAACAGGCUUAUCUCCCCCAAGAGUUCACAUCGACGGGGAGGUUUGGCACCUCGAUGUCGGCUCAUCGCAUCCUGGAGCGGAAGUACGUUCCAAGGGUUGGGCUGUUCGCCCAUUAAAGCGGUACGCGAGCUGGGUUCAGAACGUCGUGAGACAGUUCGGUCCUUAUCUGUCGCAGGCGCAAGAUAUUUGAAGGGAGCUGUCCUUAGUACGAGAGGACCAGGAUGGACAUACCGAUGGUGUAUCAGUUGUCACACCAGUGGCACGGCUGAGUAGCUAAGUAUGGAAGGGAUAAACGCUGAAAGCAUCUAAGUGUGAAGCCCACCCUAAGAUAAGAUAUCUCAUAUCGUAAGAUAGUAAGAAUCCACGUAGACUAUGUGGUUGAUAGGUUGGAGGUGUAAGUGCAGUAAUGUAUUAAGCUGACCAAUACUAAUAAUUCGAGGGCUUAACCAC
RNAcentral lists this ribosomal RNA (1751 nucleotides) under human gut metagenome. Its description in RNAcentral is "bacterial LSU rRNA". It matches the Rfam family "Bacterial large subunit ribosomal RNA", at positions 1129 to 2925 of the family's 2925-position model. The record is from RNAcentral.